RNAcentral lists this ribosomal RNA (959 nucleotides) under Geastrum berkeleyi. RNAcentral's name for it is "eukaryotic LSU rRNA". It matches the Rfam family "Eukaryotic large subunit ribosomal RNA", at positions 1 to 940 of the family's 3401-position model. Lineage: Eukaryota; Fungi; Basidiomycota; Agaricomycetes; Geastrales; Geastraceae. The record is from RNAcentral.
UUUGACCUCAAAUCAGGUAGGACUACCCGCUGAACUUAAGCAUAUCAAUAAGCGGAGGAAAAGAAACUAACAAGGAUUCCCCUAGUAACGGCGAGUGAAGAGGGAAAAGCUCAAAUUUAAAAUCUGACAGUCUAUGACUGUCCGAGUUGUAAUGUAGAGAAGUGUUUUCCGUGCUGGACCGUGUACAAGUCCUUUGGAACAAGGCGUCAUAGAGGGUGAGAAUCCCGUCUACGACACGGACUACCAGUGCUUUGUGAUACACUCUCAACGAGUCGAGUUGUUUGGGAAUGCAGCUCAAAAUGGGUGGUAAAUUCCAUCUAAAGCUAAAUACAGGCGAAAGACCGAUAGCGAACAAGUACCGUGAGGGAAAGAUGAAAAGCACUUUGGAAAGAGAGUUAAACAGUACGUGAAAUUGUUGAAAGGGAAACACUUGAAGUCAGUCGCGUCUUCAGAAAUUCAGCCUGGUGACAAGCCUGGUGUACUUUUCUGUUGGACGGGCCAGCAUCAGUUUCGGUCACUAGAUAAAGGUAAGAGGAAGGUGGCACCUGUGGGUGUGUUAUAGCCUCUUGUCGUAUGUGGUGACUGGGACUGAGGACCGCAGCACGCCUUGAUGGCCGGGGUUCGCCCACGUAACGUGCUUAGGAUGCUGGCGUAAUGGCUUUAAAUGACCCGUCUUGAAACACGGACCAAGGAGUCUAACAUGCCUGCGAGUAUUUGGGUGGCAAACCCAUAUGCGAAAUGAAAGUGAUCAGUUGGGACUUCUGUCAUGGAAGGCACCGACGCCCGGACCAGACCUAUUGUGAUGGAUCCGAGGUAGAGCAUGUAUGCUGGGACCCGAAAGAUGGUGAACUAUGCCUGAGUAGGGUGAAGCCAGAGGAAACUCUGGUGGAGGCUCGUAGCGAUUCUGACGUGCAAAUCGAUCGUCGAACUUGGGUAUAGGGGCGAAAGACUAAUCGAAC